Molecule: long non-coding RNA, 5068 nt
Filed under: Triticum aestivum (bread wheat)
Lineage: Eukaryota; Viridiplantae; Streptophyta; Magnoliopsida; Poales; Poaceae
Description: long non-coding RNA (TAES_LNC024550)
Source: RNAcentral
CCAAGCCGGCGAUCCGGAGGCUGGCCAGGAGGGGCGGCGUGAAGCGCAUCUCCGGCCUCAUCUACGAGGAGACCCGUGGCGUCCUCAAGAUCUUCCUCGAGAACGUCAUCCGCGACGCCGUCACCUACACCGAGCACGCCCGCCGCAAGACCGUCACCGCCAUGGACGUCGUCUACGCGCUCAAGCGCCAGGGCCGCACCCUCUACGGCUUCGGAGGCUAGAUCCGUCUAGUGGAGCAACUUCCUCGUUUGCUCUGUGUGACAUGUAUCGUGCUAGAUGGGAUUUACUGCUUUGGCGUGCGUCGUUGUGUUCUGUCUUGGGUUCAGUAGGCUGUGUAAUACCUGUUCAAUGCAAUCAGUUCGAUUCUGAAUCCUGACGAAAUGCUUCACUGUUGAAUUGUGAUUUGUUUUCUCUGAGACCGACUGAUUUGAUCUGCUUGGACAGUACAGCUGCAGUGAAUCAGUCUUUUAUUUCUUAACACUCGUUUCUUCCCAGAUUAGAUUGUACUGCUCUACUGAAUCUGGCUUUCAUUUGUUCAAGUAUUUGGCGCUAGCUGCUUCUCAGUUUAGAUCCCAUAUCUGUACUGAAUCAUCCUUCUAUCUGACACUCGUUGCAAUCUGUAGAAGAGAUGGAAUUCGUCCGCUCAGGUCCAGUGUUUUGGUUUGGCAUCACUAUGGAAUGAACUUCGAAUAUUUCUGUUGCUUUCAGUGGUAUGAAUACUCAUAAAUAUGGCUUCUGUUCCUGAACGCUACAUCAAUCCUCUGGAGCUACUGUCAGCGUUGAUAUGGUACUGAGGCUCUUCACUAAACAUAUUUCUUUGUCCUAAUUGUACUGUUCCUUCGAGGAAUGAGCAGUAGAGAUUUUUAUAUUCUUCUCUUCAAAAUCUUGUUCCUCACUGUGAUAUACAGUGCAACCAAGUCAUAGGUUGUAGCGAUAUUGGUCAUUCUAUAGAGCAGGAAUUGUGUGACUCGGUUCCUUAGAUCUUCACUGAUCAAGCUACACAAAUGCAGUAGGUGAUAAACUUUUUUAUGUAUGUAUUUCAUGUCACCUAGAGAAGGCAAUAAAACAUGUCAUGCAAUGGAUUAUCUCUGGGUUUUCGUUAUCGAGAGUAGCGUUACGAAGCUUGGGUGCAUCUGCACCUGCGUGUACAGUAAAUUAAAAAAAAUCAACCAAACUUUAAAAAGUCUGAAGUUUAUACACAUGAAAGAUAAGAGAUUUUUCUAGGUGUUUGCAAAUUUUGGCGUUGAGACGACAUCCGUGGAACUCAAUUCAAUUUUUUUUAAGCUCCAUAAAUGUCCAAAGCUGCAAAAAAAUUCAAGCUCCAAUUUUGCCUUUUCUUUGUAGCGAGAUUCUCGUGUGCCAUGUCAGCAUAAAAAUUUGCAAGCACCUAAAAGAGUCUUUCAUCUUAGAUGUGUAAUUUUUUCAAAUUGGUUUAGUAUUUACUUGUUUUUACUGUUCAUUCUGGAGCAUUAUCCAUCUCACAAUGCAUUUUUAUUUGUUGGUCUUUUGGACCGCUGUCAAGCCGUGCUAUGAGAUAUUCUAUGUCAGAACAAUGAAGCAUACAUUGUUAUGGUACAUGGAGCGUUGGACUUAUUUAACUCACCGUAAACUGUAAGAAACCCUUCAUAUUGCAAAUAAAUAAGAUAUCAGUUGGGUGCUCACUUAUUACUUGGUACGCUUUACCUCACAUCAUAUGGCCAUAUCUCCGUAUUUUAUUUUUGUCAGUGGUACACGAAUUUCUACAUUUGAGUACAGGCAAAUACAUGUCUCUUUUGAAGUCACUACAAGCCAACUAGUAUAAUAGAAUUGUUACAAUGGUUUUACAAAGCUUAAUUGGAUAUUGAGGACAUUAAUGCCAUCAUGGUGCUAAGUCUUUUGUAAGUUUGCACCAAAUUAUAUCCGUUCAACGCAAAUAUAAGUAUUCCAUUGGAUCUUUAAUUGCCAUCUUCAUUUUUCAUUAAAUCACACAUUUCCUUGAAGCUACUUGUAGUAGGCAAAAAAUUCCACAGAGCGCGUGGGGUAUCCUCUAGUAGUAGUGAACACCCCCAAAAUCGGAGAAAUUACCAAACCUAUGCGGUUUGGUUUAUGUAGUUAUUGUUGAUGCUGCAAAUAUAUUUGAAAUUUCCGUGAGAAUUUGAAUAACAUAUUGCAAAAAAAAGAGAAUAUCAUUUGUUCAUAUUAUAUCUGUGCAUAUGAGAGGUAAAUCCCAAUACUUAUACAUAAGACAAGAGAUGGACCGAAUAUAUUAGUAUAUUCCAUCUCUCCAACCAAAUACUAACUUGUACUUCUUUCGUUUCAAAUUAUAAGAUGUUCUAACUUUUAUUUUGAAUCGGAUAUAUAUAGACACAUUUUAGUGUGUUUGUUCACUAAUUUUCGUCCGUAUGUACUCCAUAUUGAAAUAUCCAAAACGUCUUAUAAGUCAAAGGAAACGGAGGUGAUACUAAUCAUUUGUUUAAUCUAAUUUGUCCCAGCCAAACAUAUGAAUAGAACCAAGGUCCCCAUCUUCCCCAUGCGUUGGGCGCACCUCUUAUUCCCGUCUCCAACUCGAGACAAACGCCCACUUAUUAAAUCCGGCGCCACGUCAUCGACCUGGAAGCGGCGGGGAAGGGGGCGGCGACGGGGUUGGACGUGUCGGCCAUGGCGGGAGGGCAGGAGGAUUUUGGGGAGAAAUGAUGGGAAUGGAGAUGGUGUGCCACAGAUGAGCGAGCCUGGGGAGGACGUUGCCGGCGUCCGCUGUGUGUCCAUGCAGACGCAAACCUGACACAAUUUGGGCUGAAAAUGGGUCCAAGCGGACGAGAAAACCGACAUUUAUCUGUUUUUGUCGGCGCGUUGGGCCAUGUUUUUUGUGCCCGCGGAUCCAAAUAGAUCCGGACGGACGAAAUGGGUCGACGCGUUGGAGUUGACCGGAGUUCUUGGCUUGUCAAAGUUUCCUCCUUGUUUCUCCCUUUCUAAUGAAUGAUUUUUUCUCGUGUAAUAUCAUGGACCACCCUUUUAUAGUUCUUCUAACUGUUCUGUUAGAGAUAAUUUAGAGCAUUGAUGAAAAAGAAAAGGCGAAUCCAUGGUGUGCUUAGUGUGGUUAACAUGGAGAUUAGGAAACGAUGUGAAUUAUUUGUAUGAUAUCAUAUACUAUGUAGUGUCAAAAAACAUCUUACAUUAUAGGACGGAGGGAGUAUUUGUUAUACUUGUAAGCGCACUUAUAAAUUGUUGAUUCUGCAAACACAAUUGAUAUGUCAUUCAGAAUUCUAAUAACAUACUGCGAAAACUAAAAAAAAAUCACAAAUAUUCUUAUUGUUUAUGUGCAUAUGAGAGGUAAUCUCACCACUUCCACAUAAGACGAGAGAUGGAUCAAAUCUAUUUUCCAUUCUAUUUCUCCAGCCAAGCACUAACUUGCAACCAUUGUAUUUACCCAAUUUGCCCCAACCAAACAUAUGAAUGUAACCAAAUAUGAGUGAAACAGACUGUAAAAAUAGAAAAACUCUGACUAAAACAGAAACCAUGAAACAAACGCCCAAAAUCCCACAAACGGCGCCACGUCAUCAAUCCGGGCCAGCACCCUCCCACCUCAUCCCACCCUUCUGAUCUCAAUCCCAACGUCGCAUCUCCACCGUCUCGCGGAUCGACCCAACAAAGCACCUCCCGGCUCCCGCCCCCAGGGAAAAUAUCUAGUGCUACCAAGCCUUAGAUGCUACCAUGAUACGGGCUUUUGGACCGUCGGAUUUUCAGAUCAGGCGGCUCUCAAUAACUUUGCCACACUUGCAAAAAAGCCUCCGUGAAGUUCAAAAAUUAUGCAUAAGUCCAGCAGAUCCAACAUCUCCCGGAUGCCGUCCGAUCUAAGAAUCCGACAGCCCAGAUGUCCGUAUCACGGUAACAUUUAAUCAUCGGGAGCACUGGAUACUCUCCCCCCGCCCCCAAAGUCCCCCAAAUCUUGCAGUUCCCUCCUAAAUCCUCCCCAUAUAAACCAACCCCCCGCCCUCAGAUCCCCAAUCCCAUCGCAAGCAUCAGACUCCUCCAAAGCAGGCAGCAGCUCCUCUUCUUCCUAAUCACACUAUCUCGGAGAGGAGCGGCCAUGUCUGGGCGCGGCAAGGGCGGCAAGGGGCUGGGAAAGGGCGGCGCCAAGCGGCAGUCCUCCGCGACAACAUCCAGGGCAUCACCAAGCCGGCGAUCCGGAGGCUGGCGAGGAGGGGCGGCGUGAAGCGCAUCUCCGGCCUCAUCUACGAGGAGACCCGCGGCGUCCUCAAGAUCUUCCUCGAGAACGUCAUCCGCGACGCCGUCACCUACACCGAGCACGCCCGCCGCAAGACCGUCACCGCCAUGGACGUCGUCUACGCCCUCAAGCGCCAGGGCCGCACCCUCUACGGCUUCGGAGGCUAGAUGCGUGGUGUGCUGUGCUGGUGGCUGUCGUGUUUCUCUGUGUGAUAUGUGCCGUGGUGGAUGGGAUGUACUCCCUGUCGUGCGUUUGUGUUCAGUAGUCUGUAAUAUCAUUAUGCGUUCAAUGAAAAUACUCCGAUCCUGAGUUCUGACGAAAUGCUUCAGUGAUGAAAUCGUUUUUAUAAGACAUACUGAUUUGAUCCGUUCAUUUUUUCUUUAGAUUGUAUAGCUGUGCCUGUGCAGCUAGAAUUUCACACAGUUGCAAUCUGAUCAGUCUUUUGUCACGCAUUGCAAUCUGGACGAGUGCUUCCGCUCAGUUACCUACAGUACUACAGUUGCCACGUUUAAUUUGGGUUCAGUGGGAAUGAAUCCUGUUUCUUUUCUGCAGUAUUGUAAGGUAGUGCACAAGGAUCGGGGUUCAGGAUCUAAAGAUGUUGUAGUCCUGUAAAUAUUUCUGAAUCAAGCCAUGCGACACUUAUAAGUCUGUAGAAUGCAGAACAAAUAUCUGAUGCUCUGCAGUCUGCACUAAGCAUAGUUUUUCUUCCUAAUAAUCAUCUCAUUCCUCAGAGGAAUGUAUUUGUAGAGAUUAUGUUCUUUUCCUAAUGGCCUUGUGCCUGAUAAGGAUAAACAGGAUGAUUCCCUUUUCUCUUAUUGAGAAAUUGUAAGUCGCUGUCACUAAUCCUCUAGAGCAGGAAAUUAC